This 497-nucleotide ribosomal RNA is filed under the name uncultured bacterium. Its description in RNAcentral is "partial 16S ribosomal RNA". It matches the Rfam family "Bacterial small subunit ribosomal RNA", at positions 28 to 507 of the family's 1533-position model. The record is from RNAcentral.
GAUGAACGCUGGCGGCGUGCCUAAUACAUGCAAGUCGAGCGAACAGACGAGGAGCUUGCUCCUCUGACGUUAGCGGCGGACGGGUGAGUAACACGUGGAUAACCUACCUAUAAGACUGGGAUAACUUCGGGAAACCGGAGCUAAUACCGGAUAAUAUAUUGAACCGCAUGGUUUAAUAGUGAAAGACGGUUUUGCUGUCACUUAUUGAUGGAUCCGCGCCGCAUUAGCUAGUUGGUAAGGUAACGGCUUACCAAGGCAACGAUGCGUAGCCGACCUGAGAGGGUGAUGGGCCACACUGGAACUGAAACACGGUCAAGACUCCUACGGGAGGAAGAAGUAGGGAAUCUUCCGAAAGGGGCGAAAGCUUGACGGAGAAAGGCCGCGUGAGUGAUGAAGGUCUUCGGAUCGUAAGACUCUGUUAUUAGGGAAGAACAAAUGUGUAAGUAACUAUGCACGUCUUGACGGUACCUAAUCAGAAAGCCACGGCUAACUACGUG